Molecule: ribosomal RNA, 500 nt
Filed under: uncultured bacterium
Lineage: Bacteria
Description: partial 16S ribosomal RNA
Rfam family: Bacterial small subunit ribosomal RNA
Source: RNAcentral
AUUGAACGCUGGCGGCAUGCUUUACACAUGCAAGUCGAACGGUAACAGGGUGCUUGCACCGCUGACGAGUGGCGAACGGGUGAGUAAUGCGUCGGAACGUGCCGAGUAGUGGGGGAUAACGCAGCGAAAGUUGUGCUAAUACCGCAUACGUACUGAGGUAGAAAGUGGGGGACCUUCGGGCCUCACGCUAUUCGAGCGGCCGACGUCUGAUUAGCUAGUAGGUGAGGUAAAGGCUCACCUAGGCGACGAUCAGUAACGGGUCUGAGAGGAUGAUCCGCCACACUGGAACUGAGACACGGCCCAGACUCCUACGGGAGGCAGCAGUGGGGAAUUUUGGACAAUGGGCGAAAGCCUGAUCCAGCCAUGCCGCGUGUCUGAAGAAGGCCUUCGGGUUGUAAAGGACUUUUGUCAGGGAGGAAAUCCCUAGUGCUAAUAACACUGGGGGAUGACAGUACCUGAAGAAUAAGCACCGGCUAACUACGUGCCAGCCGCCGCGGUAA